GGAUCGUAUAGGGCGAUUGUAUUUAGCGGCGCGAUUCGCCCUUGUGCCAGCAGCCGCGGUAAUUCCAGUUCCAAUAGCGUAUAUUAAAGUUGUUGUGGUUAAAAAGCUUUGUAGUUGAACCUUGGGCCUGGCUGGCCGGUCCGCCUCACCGCGUGCACUGGUCCGGCCGGGCCUUUCCCUCUGUGGAACCCCAUACCCUUCACUGGGCGUGGCGGGGAAACAGGACAUUUACUUUGAAAAAAUUAGAGUGCUCCAGGCAGGCCUAUGCUCGAAUACAUUAGCAUGGAAUAAUAAAAUAGGACGCGCGGUUCUAUUUUGUUGGUUUAUAGGACCGCCGUAAUGAUUAAUAGGGACAGUCGGGGGCAUCAGUAUUCAACUGUCAGAGGUGAAAUUCUUGGAUCAGUUGAAGACUAACUACUGCGAAAGCAUUUGCCAAGGAUGUUUUCAUUAAUCAGGAACGAAAGUUAGGGGGAUCGAAGACGAUCAGAUACCGUCGUAGUCUUAACCAUAAACUAUGCCGACUAGGGGAUCGGACGGUGUUAUUCAUGACCCGUUCGGCACCUUACGAGAGAAUCAAAGUGCUUUGGGCUCCAGGGGGGAGUAUGGUCGCAAGGCUGAAAACUUAAAGAAAUUGACGGAAGGGCACCACCCAGGGGUGGAAGCCUGCGGCUUUAAUUUGACUCAACACGGGUAAACUCACCAGGUCCAGACACAAUAAGGGAUUGAACAGAAUUGAGAGGUCUUUUCUUGAAUUUUUCGGUGGGGGUGCAGGCCCGGUCCUAGUUUGUGGUGGGAUUUGUCUGCUUUAUUUGCAAUAGCAAACCGAAACCUAAACCUGCCUAAUAGCCCGGGUUUUGCCCCGGCCAGGCGCCUC
RNAcentral lists this ribosomal RNA (874 nucleotides) under uncultured fungus. Its description in RNAcentral is "bacterial SSU rRNA". It matches the Rfam family "Eukaryotic small subunit ribosomal RNA", at positions 506 to 1386 of the family's 1831-position model. Lineage: Eukaryota; Fungi. The record is from RNAcentral.